UUUUUUUUUUUUUUUUUUCGGACAGUAGAUUGAAGGGUACAGUGAAAAGGUAAGGUUUUUAUAUGACAAACUUACCAUAGACAGACUUAAGUAGACUAAAAAGGAUGAAAAGAACUACAGAAGAUUAAAAGAGAAACCCUCAUGGCAGCUCCAGUAUUAAGUCUCCCUGACCUAAAAAAAAGGCUCUUCCAGCUCUUUAUAGAUGUGAGCUGUAUGCAAUAUACAAGGCUUUGCUGGGACUUAAAGGGAAAAAGGGGACAACUUUCACUGAUUCCAAAUAUGCAUUUGGGUGGUGUACACCUUUGGGAAAAUCUGGGAAGAAAGAGGUCUGCUAAACACAUGGGGAAAGGGAUUGAUUCAUGAAGAAAUAAUUAAACAAAUCCUUAAAGCUAUUAGAGGGCCAGAAGCUAUUGCUAUAGUCCAUGUAAAAGGACACCAAACCGGGAUGCAGUUCAGGACUCAGGGGAACAAUUUAGCAGACAAAGAGGCAAAAAGCACUGCUUUGCUAAAGGUAAGUGCCCCAGAGAUUGAAAAAAGGGGACGCUCAGGAAUUCCCCCCCCACCCCUCUGAAACGGAGAUGGAGGCUUAUCGGAAGAUCGGGAGACAGUUAGAAGGAGGUAAGUGGAAGUUACCAGAUGGGAGGGGAUUGUUGUCAAAGGAAUACACUAGGAAGAUUUUAAAAAGAUUACACCAACAGACACACUGGGGGGCCCGAGCUCUGGCAGAGCAGUUCCUGAAAUUCUUCAGCUGCAAAGGUAUAUGUGAAUUGGCUAAACAAGAGGUGCAAGGGUGCAUAACUUAGAAAAAAAUAAUAAAUCAUACAAACUCCCAAAGGUGAAAGGGGAGUCGUCCAGCAGCUUACUGGCCUUUUGAAAGGAUCCAGGUAGAUUUCACUAGUCGGGAAACACAAAUUCUUAUUAGUCAUAGUAGACAAACUAACCCACUGGGUAGAAGCUUUCCCAAGCUCCCAGGCUACAGCCCAAACAGUAUCAAAGGUCUUAUUAGAAGAAAUUAUACCUCAAUAUGGGUUAGUAAGCUACAUUGAUCUGAACCAGGAGACACAUUUCACAUCAAAAAUCAUUAAGCUAUUAGCAGAUGCUUUAGGCAUUCGAUAGGAAUACCACACCCCAUAGCACCCUCAGAGUUCUGGGCCACUCAAAAGAAUUAAUCAAAUGUUAGAAGUCCAAUUAGCCAAAUUGGUGUUAAAAACAAAUGUCAUAAAUAAAAUACAUCCCAUUAGCCUUAUUAAACAUAAGAACUAUGCCUCAUUCUGAAAUGGGAUUUCCACCUUCUGAAAUGUUACAUGGGAUACCUUAUACCCAUAGUAUGCCUGUAGGGCAUCCGGGAGUAAAGAAUAGACAGACACAACCAUACCUGAUAGCAUUGAAUAAGGAUCUCAAGGGGGUGAUCAUGCAACACAGCAACCCACCCCACCUUAGACUUUUUAAUAUAUACAGCAAUAAGUAAAAUACAUCCUGAAGACAAAAUACUGGUAAAAACAUAAAAAGAGUCAACAUUCACGCCUCAUUAAGAGGGACCCUAUAUUAUCCUUUUAACUACAAAUACUGCUAUACAAACUGCAGAAAAGAAGCAGACACACGCGUCAAGAAGUCAAUGUCCAGGACCGGGCACCAGAGUGGAAAAUCAUUCCCCCCCAGGAAUUUGAAGAUAAUCCUGUCCGGCCAAGUAAAAAACGGAGAGCAUCUCUAUCAAACGUUCUUUGCCAGAAGUGUAACUAUUAUCCUUUCAUACAUUUCUCUUGCAAAUACUGUCAUAAAGUUUAAAAUGUUCGUUACUGACUUAAAUCAAGUGGGUUGUGUGGGAAGUGCUCUGAGCAGGAAGAAGACCUGACUAGCCGUUUUCUGGUAAUAGCCACAAGGCUAAUAUUGUUCUAAUUAGAUUCAAUAAUCUAAGUUUUAGGUUUUUUUCUUUUUCUCAUAUCAAAAGGGAUUAAGGGGGAAAUUACAAACAAAAGCUAAAAUUAUUAUUGUUGAGUGUCAUAGGUUGAACAACAUACCCUGCAGUGCAGACACUAGUGAACUACACCAGUGAGGCAUUUUUAAACAGGGUAUGCGGCUUGGCCUUGGUAUGAAACCACAGACAAAGAUUCCUGCUGACAAGAAGAUGGCUCACCCCGCCGCUGGAUGCACCCCAGUGGGCGCUGGGAACGGCAGAGGGAUCCUAGCAGUGGGAGUAGUCCCGGCGAGCCUGAGCCUAACCUCGUGCUUCAGUAACCUCCCCAAUCCUGAGAAGGGGGAACUCAGUGACAAAUACCCAGAAGAAAUCGCCUCUUACCUCAUAGAACUGCAGCAGGGGCGCAGGUGAGACUGGGUGUAGAUUGGAAACUGAUUUACAAGUAAGAAGGUACAGCUCGCCAGGAGAUGGGCCAUGUCUGGGGAGAUACAGAAACCCCAGGUACUGAUCGUUAGCGUGAACGACCCGAAAUGGAUAUCAUGGAAAUCCUGAGGCAGAUACAUGUGAAUACAGCGUUCCCGUAAAUUUCAUCAAAGGAUUCAACAAACUCCAGACAGUGAUUUGUUCUCCCUCAUCACCAAAAAGGAAAAUCUUAUUAACAUAUGGACUCUGAAUAGAAGAAAAGACUGAUUGCUGAAAUCUUGGCCUCAGGCAGAAUUUUCCCUAUAAAAACCGCUUGUGCCAGGAUGGAGGGGUGUGGGCAUGGAGGAAAACCUCUACUGAGGCUGACCUCUUUGUUGCACACCCAGGGCCGACCCCGGGCUCGGCUCUGUUCUUUCCUUGUGGCUGGCUAGAUAAAAUUUGAUUGCAAAAUAAAUAUUUUAUUUUUCAUAU
Molecule: long non-coding RNA, 2809 nt
Filed under: Taeniopygia guttata (zebra finch)
Lineage: Eukaryota; Metazoa; Chordata; Aves; Passeriformes; Estrildidae
Description: lncRNA (ENSTGUG00000025014.1)
Source: RNAcentral